Molecule: ribosomal RNA, 781 nt
Filed under: uncultured Neocallimastigales
Lineage: Eukaryota; Fungi; Neocallimastigomycota; Neocallimastigomycetes; Neocallimastigales
Description: partial large subunit ribosomal RNA
Rfam family: Eukaryotic large subunit ribosomal RNA
Source: RNAcentral
UCGUCUAUAUACGUAUAGCAUAUCAAUAAGCGGAGGAAAAGAAACUAACUGGGAUUCCCUUAGUAACGGCGAGUGAAGCGGGAAGAGCUCAAAUUUGAAAUCUUCAAGGUUUUACCUUGACGAAUUGUAGUUUAAAGAAGUGUUUUCUGUUGGAAUUUUCGGUAAAAGUUCUUUGGAAAUAGGACAUCAAUAGAGGGUGAGAAUCCCGUAUUUGACCAUUACUUUCCAGCUUUGUGAUACACUUUCAAAGAGUCGGAUUGUUUGGGAAUGCAGUCCAAAAUGGGUGGUAAAUUUCAUCUAAAGCUAAAUACUGGCGAGAGACCGAUAGCGAACAAGUACCGUGAGGGAAAGAUGAAAAGAACUUUGAAAAGAGAGUUAAACAGUACGUGAAAUUGUCAAAAGGGAAGCGUUUGACACCAGUGUUGUAUUCUCGAAAAUCAAUUAAAAAUGGCGGGAUUUUGUGUUGUAUUGACUUUAUCAGCUUUCUGCACUUUUUUCUUGUCUUUUUUAAUGCACUUUUCGUUUAACAAGUCAACAUCAAUUUCUUUUGUUGUAAAAGGGUCAUUGGAAGGUGGCUUUCUUUUCGGAGAAAGUGUUUAUAGCCUUUGGCUUCUGCAGUCGGAGAGAUUGAGGUCUGCAGCGUAGAUCCUUCGGGGUUAGAUAGCAUUUGUGCUAAGUUACUAGCCUUUCAUAGACAACUUGUUGACUAUGAUCAGUCAUGUAGCUUACUCGCUUAUGCUAUUUUACCUACGCUUAGGAUGUUGAUCUGUAGUGCGUGCGC